AACGAACGCUGGCGGCAGGCCUAACACAUGCAAGUCGAGCGAGAUCUUCGGGUCUAGCGGCGGACGGGUGAGUAACGCGUGGGAAUAUGCCUCUUGGUACGGAAUAGCCUCGGGAAACUGGGAGUAAUACCGUAUGUGCCCUUUGGGGGAAAGAUUUAUCGCCAAGAGAUUAGCCCGCGUUGGAUUAGGUAGUUGGUGGGGUAAUGGCCUACCAAGCCGACGAUCCAUAGCUGGUUUGAGAGGAUGAUCAGCCACACUGGGACUGAGACACGGCCCAGACUCCUACGGGAGGCAGCAGUGGGGAAUCUUAGACAAUGGGGGCAACCCUGAGCUAGCCAUGCCGCGUGAGUGAUGAAGGCCUUAGGGUUGUAAAGCUCUUUCAGCUGGGAAGAUAAUGACGGUACCAGCAGAAGAAGCCCCGGCUAACUCCGUG
This 433-nucleotide ribosomal RNA is filed under the name uncultured bacterium. Its description in RNAcentral is "partial 16S ribosomal RNA". It matches the Rfam family "Bacterial small subunit ribosomal RNA", at positions 29 to 507 of the family's 1533-position model. The record is from RNAcentral.